Molecule: ribosomal RNA, 469 nt
Filed under: uncultured bacterium
Lineage: Bacteria
Description: partial 16S ribosomal RNA
Rfam family: Bacterial small subunit ribosomal RNA
Source: RNAcentral
GACGAACGCUGGCGGCGUGCCUAACACAUGCAAGUCGAGCGAGAGACUUCGGUCUCUAGCGGCGGACGGGUGAGUAACACGUGGGUAACCUGCCUCAUAGUGGGGAUAGCCUUCCGAAAGGAAGAUUAAUACCGCAUAUACUCUCGAUACCACAUGGUAUUUAGAGGAAAGGAGCAAUCCGCUACGAGAUGGACCCGCGGCGCAUUAGCUAGUUGGUGAGGUAACGGCUCACCAAGGCGACGAUGCGUAGCCGACCUGGGAGGGUGAUCGGCCACAUUGGAACUGGGACACGGUCCAGACUCCUACGGGAGGCAGCAGUGGGGAAUAUUGCACAAUGGGCGAAAGCCUGAUGCAGCAACGCCGCGUGAGUGAUGACGGCCUUCGGGUUGUAAAGCUCUGUCUUUUGGGACGAUAAUGACGGUACCAAAGGAGGAAGCCACGGCUAACUACGUGCCAGCCGCCGCCGUAA